GAAGCCGCGAGACCCCCACUGCUCUCUGCACCUGCUGACGUGCGCGCGGACGGAAGUGCUCUUCCAUGAAGCGUGGCGCGCGCGAUCCGGUACAGAGCUUUUUUCUGCCUCACCUCUCAAUCCAACCAGCCAUUAGCAAAGCUGUUGCCAGGGUCUUGUCUGUGUGCUGCACAUGCCUGGAAUGUCUGGAGAAACAGCAUCAUGUGUUAAUCUGACAAAUACCUUGCAUUCAGGACAUUGAGUGUGGUGGCCUAGAAAAUGGUGCAAACGUAGGUUAGAAACAUUUGAGUGACCUGUUUUUUUAAAUUUAUUUUAAAGACAAAAGUAUAAAUUAGAAUUACAACAGCUUACACCACUCAUAACUAUCAGCUUCUGGGGUUUCUAAUACUCACAAAAUGAUAUCAUAUCUUCAAAUGUGAUUAGCUUAAGUAGAGAACGAGAGGAGAGAGAUAAUAAGAAUAAGAUGAGAGAGGAGAGGAGAAGACAACAGCAGUGCUGCACUUGGACCCAUGGUGCUGAUAAGAGUGGUUGCCUAGCAACUGCAUCUAGGGGUGGGCCAACCAGGGUUUCACAGCAGCACUGUGCCUUGGCAGGGAGGACUUCAGACAUAGCUGGCCCACCCCUGGAUGCAGUUGAUAGGCAACCACUCUUAUCAGCACCAUGGGUCCAACAGCUCAACCCAUGGAUGGAUUUCAUUAUCUUUACUUUAUUUACAUACAAUUAAUAAAUGUCUAAUAACAUUGUCUUUAUCUAUUAAAAGUCUGUUACUGUA
Oncorhynchus tshawytscha (Chinook salmon) is the source of this 772-nucleotide long non-coding RNA. RefSeq lists it as uncharacterized. Lineage: Eukaryota; Metazoa; Chordata; Actinopteri; Salmoniformes; Salmonidae. The transcript has 2 exons. The record is from RefSeq and is a predicted model, not a curated record.